Molecule: ribosomal RNA, 390 nt
Filed under: uncultured bacterium
Lineage: Bacteria
Description: bacterial SSU rRNA
Rfam family: Bacterial small subunit ribosomal RNA
Source: RNAcentral
GACGAACGCUGGCGGCGUGCUUAACACAUGCAAGUCGAGCGGUAAGGCCCUUUCGGGGGUACACGAGCGGCGAACGGGUGAGUAACACGUGGGUGACCUGCCCUCAGCUCUGGGAUAAGCCUGGGAAACCGGGUCUAAUACUGGAUAUGACUCCAUGACGCAUGUUGUGGGGUGGAAAGCCUCGUGCGGCUGAGGAUGGGCCCGCGGCCUAUCAGCUUGUUGGUGGGGUGANGGCCUACCAAGGCGACGACGGGUAGCCGGCCUGAGAGGGCGACCGGCCACACUGGGACUGAGACACGGCCCAGACUCCUACGGGAGGCAGCAGUGGGGAAUCUUGCGCAAUGGGCGAAAGCCUGACGCAGCGACGCCGCGUGAGGGAUGACGGCCUGG